UUGGAGGGCAAGUCUGGUGCCAGCAGCCGCGGUAAUUCCAGCUCCAAUAGCGUAUAUUAAAGUUGCUGCAGUUAAAAAGCUCGUAGUUGAAUUUCGGGACCAUCAUGUCGGUCGUGCCUCGGUACGUACUGGCAUUGUUGGUUUCUCCCUUCUGACGAACCAUGAUGUCAUUUAUUUGGUGUUGUGGGGAAUCAGGACUGUUACUUUGAAAAAAUUAGAGUGUUUAAAGCAGGCUCACGCUUGAAUACAUUAGCAUGGAAUAAUGAAAUAGGACGUUUGAUUCUAUUUUGUUGGUUUCUAGGAUCGACGUAAUGAUUAAUAGGGAUAGUUGGGGGCAUUAGUAUUCAAUUGUCAGAGGUGAAAUUCUUGGAUUUAUUGAAGACUAACUACCGCGAAAGCAUUUGCCAAGGAUGUUUUCAUUAAUCAAGAACGAAAGUUAGGGGAUCGAAGACGAUCAGAUACCGUCGUAGUCUUAACCAUAAACUAUGCCGACUAGGGAUCGGAUGAUGUUAAUUUUUUAAUGACUCAUUCGGCGCCUUACGGGAAAC
This 548-nucleotide ribosomal RNA is filed under the name uncultured Glomeromycotina. Its description in RNAcentral is "SSU rRNA". It matches the Rfam family "Eukaryotic small subunit ribosomal RNA", at positions 548 to 1098 of the family's 1831-position model. Lineage: Eukaryota; Fungi; Glomeromycota. The record is from RNAcentral.